Molecule: long non-coding RNA, 384 nt
Organism: Mya arenaria
Lineage: Eukaryota; Metazoa; Mollusca; Bivalvia; Myida; Myidae
Exons: 3
Source: RefSeq, a predicted model, not a curated record
CGAACAAAAAUUCACAGUUGAUCAUUUCGUUUAGAGUGCAUCUGAUUUAAGCAUAUAAUUGUGCUGGGAUAUCUGGAUUCGGGUUGACGGCGAUUCGCAGAAGCAGCAUCCGCGCCGAAUUCUGGCUAACAUCUGCGAGAGAGUGUGAGCGGUUAGUCAAUUGGUACCGGGGUCAAAUUCAGAUACUUUGAGGUGACCGCCUAACAGGAAGCAGACCAUGCCGGACCCGUUCAUAUUCCUGGACAAAUGGACGACGUGGACGCGACUGACCGGGAACGCCGACGACGACUGGGCGGACCGGCUCAACCACAUUGUUACCGUUGUACUUCUGAUAGCGUUCUCCGUCUUUGUCGUCGGCGGCUCGUACAUGGACGAGAGGAUAGC